This 867-nucleotide ribosomal RNA is filed under the name Inocybe sp. 8 TM02_130. RNAcentral's name for it is "eukaryotic LSU rRNA". It matches the Rfam family "Eukaryotic large subunit ribosomal RNA", at positions 75 to 932 of the family's 3401-position model. The record is from RNAcentral. Lineage: Eukaryota; Fungi; Basidiomycota; Agaricomycetes; Agaricales; Inocybaceae.
UUCCCCUAGUAACUGCGAGUGAAGCGGGAAAAGCUCAAAUUUAAAAUCUGUUGGCAUUGGCCAACUGAGUUGUAAUCUAGAGAAGUGUUACCCGUGCUGGACCGUGUACAAGUCUCCUGGAAUGGGGCAUCACAGAGGGUGAGAAUCCCGUCUUUGACAUGGACUACCAGUGCUUUUGUGGUAUGCUCUCAAAGAGUCGAGUUGUUUGGGAAUGCAGCUCAAAAUGGGUGGUAAAUGCCAUCUAAAGCUAAAUAUUGGCGAGAGACCGAUAGCGAACAAGUACCGUGAGGGAAAGAUGAAAAGAACUUUGGAAAGAGAGUUAAACAGUACGUGAAAUUGCUGAAAGGGAAACGCUUGAAGUCAGUCGCGUUGAUUUGGAAUCAACCCUGCUUUUGUUGGGUGUACUUCCUUGUCAACGGGUCAGCAUCAAUUUUGACUGUUGGAUAAAGUUGUUGGGAAUGUGGCAUCUUCGGAUGUGUUAUAGCCCAAUGAUGCAUACAGCAGUUGGGAUUGAGGAACUCAGCAUGCUGAAAGGCCGGGUUUCGACCACGUCCAUGCUUAGGAUGCUGGCAUAAUGGCUUUAAUCGACCCGUCUUGAAACACGGACCAAGGAGUCUAACAUGCCUGCGAGUGUUUGGGUGGAAAACCCAUGCGCGCAAUGAAAGUGAAAGUUGAGAUCCCUUUGGGGAGCAUCGACGCCCGGACCAGACCUUUUGUGACGGAUCCGCGGUAGAGCAUGUAUGUUGGGACCCGAAAGAUGGUGAACUAUGCCUGAAUAGGGUGAAGCCAGAGGAAACUCUGGUGGAGGCUCGUAGCGAUUCUGACGUGCAAAUCGAUCGUCAAAUUUGGGUAUAGGGGCGAAAGACU